GCCCUGGUAGCUCAGUUGGAUAGAGCGAGUGCCUCCUAAGCGCUAGGUCACAGGUUCGACUCCUGUCCAGGGCACCA
RNAcentral lists this transfer RNA (77 nucleotides) under Alcanivorax sp. N3-2A. RNAcentral describes it as "tRNA-Arg". It matches the Rfam family "tRNA". Rfam says of the family: Transfer RNA (tRNA) molecules are approximately 80 nucleotides in length. Their secondary structure includes four short double-helical elements and three loops (D, anti-codon, and T loops). The record is from RNAcentral. Lineage: Bacteria; Pseudomonadati; Pseudomonadota; Gammaproteobacteria; Oceanospirillales; Alcanivoracaceae.